RNAcentral lists this small nuclear RNA (306 nucleotides) under Echinops telfairi (small Madagascar hedgehog). RNAcentral's name for it is "7SK RNA (ENSETEG00000021285.1)". It matches the Rfam family "7SK RNA". From Rfam's summary of the family: 7SK was discovered as an abundant small nuclear RNA in the mid-70s but a possible function has only recently been suggested. Two independent studies have found that 7SK RNA binds the CDK9/cyclin T complex (known as elongation factor P-TEFb). Lineage: Eukaryota; Metazoa; Chordata; Mammalia; Afrosoricida; Tenrecidae. The record is from RNAcentral.
GGAUGUGAGGGCGAUCUGGCUGUGACAUCUGUCACCCCGUUAAUCACCAGGGUUGAUUCGGCUGAUCUGGCUGGCUAGGCGGGUGUCCCCUUCCUCCCUCACAGCUCCAUGUGUGUCCCUUCCCGGAGCUGCGCACUCGGUUGAAGAGGGCGACCUUUCCCGACAAGGAGGACCUUCCUUAGGUGAGGGUAUAAGAGUAGCUGCGCUCCCCUGCUAGAACCUCCACACAAGUCUCACGAUUUACAGUCUCAGAAACCCACAGGGGCCAAUUCUACUCUGUCCUAACCGCUUCAAUGGCAGUGAGUU